GGGACACUGUCAGGUGGGCAGUUUGACUGGGGCGGUCGCCUCCCAAAAGGUAACGGAGGCGCUCAAAGGUUCUCUCAGUACGGUCGGAAAUCGUACGUAGAGGGUAAAGGCAAAAGAGAGCUUGAUUGCAAGACAUACAGGUCGAGCAAGGAUGAAAAUCGGACUUAGUGAUCCGGUGGUUCUGCGUGGAAGGGCCAUCGCUCAACGGAUA
RNAcentral lists this ribosomal RNA (211 nucleotides) under Clostridioides difficile. Its description in RNAcentral is "partial 23S ribosomal RNA". It matches the Rfam family "Bacterial large subunit ribosomal RNA", at positions 2248 to 2458 of the family's 2925-position model. The record is from RNAcentral. Lineage: Bacteria; Bacillati; Bacillota; Clostridia; Peptostreptococcales; Peptostreptococcaceae.